This 253-nucleotide ribosomal RNA is filed under the name uncultured bacterium. Its description in RNAcentral is "partial 16S ribosomal RNA". It matches the Rfam family "Bacterial small subunit ribosomal RNA", at positions 524 to 776 of the family's 1533-position model. The record is from RNAcentral.
UACAGAGGUCUCAAGCGUUGUCCGGAUUUAUUGGGCGUAAAGAGCGUGUAGGCGGCCAGACAGGUCAGCUGUGAAAACUCGAGGCUCAACCUCGAGAUGUCGGUUGAAACCGUCUGGCUAGAGUCCGGAAGAGGAGAGUGGAAUUCCCGAUGUAGCGGUGAAAUGCGCAGAUAUCGGGAAGAACACCCGUGGCGAAGGCGGCUCUCUGGGACGGUACUGACGCUGAGACGCGAAAGCGUGGGGAGCGAACAGG